GAGGGUAUAGCUCAAGUGGUAGAGCGCAUGCUUAGCAUGCAUGAGGUCCUGGGUUCAAUCCCCAGUGCCUCCU
Molecule: transfer RNA, 73 nt
Filed under: Camelus bactrianus (Bactrian camel)
Lineage: Eukaryota; Metazoa; Chordata; Mammalia; Artiodactyla; Camelidae
Also listed under: 2 other names
Rfam family: tRNA
About the family: Transfer RNA (tRNA) molecules are approximately 80 nucleotides in length. Their secondary structure includes four short double-helical elements and three loops (D, anti-codon, and T loops).
Source: Rfam by way of RNAcentral